GCGGGGGUGGUGUGACUUAGGAUGACAAGAUAUAACGUCUCAUUGUCCUUUUUUUCUUGGCAGUCAGGAGAAAAUAGGACUUCCAAAGAUCUCUGAAGAAAUGUCAGGAUAUUUGUAUGUUACUGUAACAGGAUAAAAAUGACCAAAAAUGACUGUGACAGGGAAAAGAAAUGUAACAAGAAAAAUGUGUCAGGAGGCAGCAUUCACUGACACCAAGUUCACGCACAUCUUUUUUCCCCCGCAAGCAGUGGGGAUACCUGUGUAAGCAAAUACAUUAAUACUGCUGCUGUAACAGACAUGCUCCCUGGCGCUGACGAGCUCACCCACAGGAUCCCUGCUGGGGUGGGAGGGAUGCUGCAUUUUGAGCCCCCAGUAUAUUCUUUAUGAGCAUCUUUGUGCAAUACUCAUAAAAAUUGAGGAAAACAGCAAGAAGGGCGAAGGGAAAAGCAAAGAGAAGAAACAAUCCUGGCAAGAAUGGGGCCAACCGGCCACAUCUGCCAGGGGCUGCCCCAGGCUUUGCAGACCAGGUGCCUGAGACGCUCUAGCAGUAAGGGUCUGCAAUGCCCUGAUUUCAGUAUUUGGGCCUGUUUUCUAUGAAGAGUGGUUCCUAGCUUGGGAGGAAAAGGCUUCUGGCAGCCUCUGUCUGUGCUCUGUGGGAGGCCCCAGCCUCUUCAGGCCACACUGCCCUAUCCAUCUGGCAGUGCCCGAGGCCUUCUUCAGAGGAAUAUUUUCAACAAGACAUAGAGGUGCUUUUGAGAUCCUCCCCUCCCUGCCCCAAAUGAAUUGAGAACUCCUUCAGCAAACCACCAGAAAGUCCAGGUAUGCCACCCUCUCUGCAC
RNAcentral lists this long non-coding RNA (839 nucleotides) under Homo sapiens (human). Its description in RNAcentral is "HSALNT0051337". Lineage: Eukaryota; Metazoa; Chordata; Mammalia; Primates; Hominidae. The record is from RNAcentral.